UUCGCCGCCAGCCCCUGUCUCCAGAGGCUGCUGUUUGCCCCGGGCACGGCUUCUCCCAGCAGCCAGGAAGGGGAGCUUGCUUGCUGUCACAAGGCCAGCGAAGCGAGGUGCAGCCAGCGGAGCUCCUGGCAGGCCAUCCCUGCCCUCGGUGCCCUCAGCAGCCCUGGCCUGGCCUCACGCCCUGGCAGCACUUUGCCUGCGGCCUGUAUGAAACUGCAGAGCCACAAGAGCCAGCCUGAAAGGAGACAUGGCUAUACGUAAAAUACCAUAUAACCUACCCUUAAAAGUCAUAGAGCCAGAGAAUAGCUUGGGUUGGAAGGGCCCUUAAAGGUCAUUUAGUUUCGGCCCCUCUGCCAUGGACAGGGACACUUUCCACUAGACCAGGUUGCUCGGAGGCUCAUCCACCUGGCCUGGGGAUACUUUAGAGAUGGGGCAUCUAAGACCUGUUCCAGUGUCUCACCACCCUCACCAUGAAGAAUUUUUUCCUAUUAUUUAACUGAAACUACUCUGUUUAAAUCCAUUCUCCCUUAUCCUGGCACUACAUGCUAUUGUAAAAAGUCCCUCUCCAUCUUUCUUGUAAACUCCCUUAGAUACUGGAAGGCCACAACCCCAAAACCUUCUCUUUUCCAGGCUGAAUAACCCAAACUCUCUCAGCCUUUCCUCAUAGGAAAGGUGCUCCAGCCCUCUGAUCAUCUUGGUGGCCUCCUCUGGAUUCAUUCCAACAGAUCAACAUCCUUCACUCCUGUUGAGGACCUGAGAGAUGUAUGCCCCACUCCAGGAGAGGUCUCACCAGGGUGGAGUAGAGGGAUAGAAUCACCUGCCUUGACCUGCUGGCCACACUGCUUUUGAAGAUGGAAACACUGCAGCAUCCUGUGGCAACAUAGUCCUAUUUGUCACUUCCUCUGUGGCUAAAUAAUUCUUCCUGCUGUCUAAAUUAGAUCACUGCUGCCACGGUUCAGCCAGUUCUCAUCUCUGAAGAUAGAUAGCAAAGAAUUCCAAGAGGGCAAUCUGCUGGGAAAAAUACAAACUUACGUUAGUUACCAACUAGCCUGUUUAAUGAGGAAAACAUCCUAAGGGAAGCAAAACUCUGUGCAGACUUCCCUCGAACAGCCUGCUGAGGUGAAAAGUUGCAGCUGUUCCAUGUUGCCCAAAGAGUCGGAUUCUGGAAUGAAUCUUCCUUCAGGUGCAGUACAGCACAUGGGGCAUUAGAAAUACAGCACUGAAAAUGCAGGAAGCACAAGGUGCUGCAAGACAUAAGAAUGGCAGUGCAUGCCUGUUCUAGGAUAACUGCUCUGGAGGUUUUGAUCAAUGCUUUGGCCACUGCACAAAUACAGAGGAAGUCUCUAUCAUGACCAGGUGAGUUUAUCACCAAAACUGAAUCCAGAAGUAUAGCAUAGAAGAAAAGGAAGUUCUUGAAUGGGGACUGGAGGCAAACACAGUAGUCCACAUUGUCCUGGAGGCAGUCUGAUUUCUACACGUGAAGUCUUCCCUUGCAUUGGGCAAUAUCAGGACCUCUGCAGGAAAGACACUGAGCAACCUCAUUUGGUCAGUGUUGCAAGAGCAGAAGGGAUGGCUGGAAGAGGAGGGACCAAGAGAUUUGGCACAAGUCACAGCAAGAAAGCAUCAUUUGGGCCAAGAACAGAUUUAUUAAGGGAAUGGAUUUCAAAGCCCAUCAAAAGACUUUUGAAGCUCAUUGAUAUCCAAUGGCAAGUAUUUAAGAAAGAAGAGCAGCUGUGUAUAAAAUGACCCAGAGAGAAGAAAACAUGGGAUACAUGCAGAAAAAAAUCUUGAAAUUGCUCAAUUGAGAAGAAGAUGCUAAGAAGUUUUUUGACAGAAAAGUUUUUAAAUUUAAUAAUUAAAACCCAGCCUAUUGCCAAUGAUUCCUCAAGUAGGCUUUUUGUUCUUCAGAGCCUGCAAUACUUCAGAUUUCUGGGAAGGAAAGAGUAUUCCUCUUUUAAAAUCUGAUUGUUCUUUCAAUACAUGCUAGAGAAAGCUAGGCAUGACUAAACUAUUAUUUGAAGAGUUUGUAGAUGAUUGUGGAUCAUAAUUAUAUCCUGUUUAAAACAUCCCUUGAGGUAGGGAUGGAAUAGGGUAAUUUGUGACCCUUCCCUUGUCUUCAAUUACUAAUGACAGCCUGAACUGAUGAACAAAAAAAAAAAGUGUAAGGCUUUGAGUUUCAGCCACAUUAAACACCUCUCUUUGCUAAACAAAUCACAAGUAUAACCACUUUUACAUUCAAAUUCAAGGUAAGCAUGCACUGGAGUGCCCUUGCUGAACCAGAGUGGGAAUGAGGUGAGCACCCACUCACCUCAUGAGUAUGGAAGAUAGUCUGUACUCUCCACUUAGAAAUCACUCUUCUUCCUUAUGGAAGAGAAAUACAGCUGCUCCUGAGCCUGAGCAUCACCACCAAAACAGCCAAACCACCCAGCCAGGGGAGGGCCUUGUGGUGGAAGUCUGCGAUGCCCCAGGGGGUGAGGCUGAAGCCUGGCUGAGCUGAGGGCACUGCACUGGUAAUUGCAGGCACCCAAGCUGCUCUUCAGUGCCCAGACAUGCUUUAGAUAUUUUCUGUGCCACAGUCCCCUACUUCAGCUUUACCUGGGAUUUGAGAUGUUGACACUAAAUAGCAAACCUGAUGCCUUGGAUUAAAAGCCACCAAAGUGGGACUAUUAAUUUCAGUAGGAACCAGAGUUUAUGGAGGUUCCUUUUUUUAUUUCUGUAGGAGGUAUCCACUCAGAUAUUCAGUGAAUUAUUUCUUUUUUUUCCAGAGUAAAUUUUGUGAUGUUUUUCGUUUUCAGAUUGUAAGACAUCCUGCUUAUAUGCUAUAGUCCUAAUAAAUACAGAUCAGACUUAAAGAGCUUCCGUAAAUGUCAUUAUUUCGAGGCAACCUACUCA
This is a long non-coding RNA of Vidua chalybeata, 2892 nucleotides long. RefSeq lists it as uncharacterized. The transcript has 4 exons. NCBI's taxonomy places the organism in Eukaryota, Metazoa, Chordata, Aves, Passeriformes, Viduidae. The record is from RefSeq and is a predicted model, not a curated record.